UGCGGCAGCUGGUGUUGUGAAUCAGGCCGCCGUAACGCUGGGCUCGGCUACUUCACAACACCAGGGCCGUG
RNAcentral lists this microRNA precursor (71 nucleotides) under Scleropages formosus (Asian bonytongue). Lineage: Eukaryota; Metazoa; Chordata; Actinopteri; Osteoglossiformes; Osteoglossidae. The record is from RNAcentral.